GCGACCCCAGGUCAGGCGGGACUACCCGCUGAAUUUAAGCAUAU
This 44-nucleotide ribosomal RNA is filed under the name Poa sibirica. RNAcentral's name for it is "partial 26S ribosomal RNA". The record is from RNAcentral. Lineage: Eukaryota; Viridiplantae; Streptophyta; Magnoliopsida; Poales; Poaceae. RNAcentral also lists the same sequence under 5 other names.